This 636-nucleotide ribosomal RNA is filed under the name uncultured marine bacterium. Its description in RNAcentral is "bacterial SSU rRNA". It matches the Rfam family "Bacterial small subunit ribosomal RNA", at positions 8 to 627 of the family's 1533-position model. The record is from RNAcentral.
AGAGUUUGAUCAUGGCUCAGGACGAACGCUGGUGGCGUGCCUAAUACAUGCAAGUCGAGCGGACGGAUGGGAGCUUGCUCCCUGAAGUCAGCGGCGGACGGGUGAGUAACACGUGGGCAACCUGCCUGUAAGACUGGGAUAACUCCGGGAAACCGGGGCUAAUACCGGAUAACUCUUUUCCUCACAUGAGGAAAAGCUGAAAGAUGGUUUCGGCUAUCACUUACAGAUGGGCCCGCGGCGCAUUAGCUAGUUGGUGAGGUAACGGCUCACCAAGGCAACGAUGCGUAGCCGACCUGAGAGGGUGAUCGGCCACACUGGGACUGAGACACGGCCCAGACUCCUACGGGAGGCAGCAGUAGGGAAUCUUCCGCAAUGGACGAAAGUCUGACGGAGCAACGCCGCGUGAGUGAUGAAGGUUUUCGGAUCGUAAAACUCUGUUGUCAGGGAAGAACAAGUACCGGAGUAACUGCCGGUACCUUGACGGUACCUGACCAGAAAGCCACGGCUAACUACGUGCCAGCAGCCGCGGUAAUACGUAGGUGGCAGGCGUUGUCCGGAAUUAUUGGGCGUAAAGCGCGCGCAGGCGGUUCCUUAAGUCUGAUGUGAAAGCCCCCGGCUCAACCGGGGAGGGUCAUU